CUUGAUGCGUAAGAAAUAAUUGUUCUUUAUCUAUUUAUGCAGUUAUUAAAGCUGAAACCAGCAGAGCAAGGUCGGGAGUAUGUAGAGAUGACCUUUGUGGAGCACAAAAGCUGUGAAUGUAGACUAAGAAAGCCCGCAGUGAAACACGACAGGCGGAGGCCAAAAGGACGGGGAAGGAAACGGAAGGAGAAACAGCGAGUAAAGGACUGCAAUGGGUGUCAGCCUCCUCGAAGAUAAACCCAGCUCUGCCCUGUCCUCUGCUCAUGCUGUGCAGCUAGCCACCACCCGCCCAUCCUGCUCUUAAUGGAUCCUGUGUCACCUCCACCGCCCAUGUCUGAGAUGAGGCACUGCCACAGUGACACGAAGGUCACACUAGCCACCAGGGGACAUUUCAUGUACCGGAACCGCCUGUUGUGAGGUGACACCCUCUGACAUGCUUCUGUUUGGAAGCACAGUGGGGAACCAAAUUCAAUGUCUGAAGUAGGAAUUAGUCUACAGGACACUGGC
Long non-coding RNA from Electrophorus electricus (electric eel), 507 nucleotides. NCBI's taxonomy places the organism in Eukaryota, Metazoa, Chordata, Actinopteri, Gymnotiformes, Gymnotidae. The record is from Ensembl.